CAGGACGAACGGCUGGCGGCGUGCCUAAUACAUGCAAGUCGAACGGCUUUUCUAUGGAAGCUUGCUUCCACUGAGAAGAUAGUGGCGAACGGGUGAGUAACACGUGGGUAACCUGCCCAUAAGAGGGGGAGUAACAUCCGGAAACGGGUGCUAAUACCGCAUAGUUUUCUUGAUCGCAUGAUUGAGAAAGGAAAGACGGCCUUUGUGCUGUCGCUUAUGGAUGGACCCGCGGCGUAUUAGUUAGUUGGUGAGGUAACGGCUCACCAAGACGAUGAUACGUAGCCGACCUGAGAGGGUGAUCGGCCACAUUGGGACUGAGACACGGCCCAAACUCCUACGGGAGGCAGCAGUAGGGAAUCUUCCGCAAUGGGCGAAAGUCUGACGGAGCAACGCCGCGUGAGUGAAGAAAGGUUUUCGGAUCGUAAAACUCUGUUGUCAGAGAAGAACAAGUUGGAGAGUAACUGCUCCAGCCUUGACGGUAUCUGACCAGAAAGCCACGGCUAACUACGUGCCAGCCGCAGC
RNAcentral lists this ribosomal RNA (522 nucleotides) under uncultured bacterium. RNAcentral describes it as "bacterial SSU rRNA". It matches the Rfam family "Bacterial small subunit ribosomal RNA", at positions 25 to 518 of the family's 1533-position model. The record is from RNAcentral.